RNAcentral lists this ribosomal RNA (471 nucleotides) under uncultured bacterium. RNAcentral describes it as "bacterial SSU rRNA". It matches the Rfam family "Bacterial small subunit ribosomal RNA", at positions 355 to 825 of the family's 1533-position model. The record is from RNAcentral.
UCGGGAAUUUUGGGCAAUGGGCGAAAGCCUGACCCAGCAACGCCGCGUGAGUGAUGAAGGCCUUCGGGUUGUAAAGCUCUGUGGGGAGAGAAGAAUAAGUGCGGGCUAAUACCCCGCAUGAUGACGGUAUCUCCUUAGCAAGCACCGGCUAACUCCGUGCCAGCAGCCGCGGUAAUACGGAGGGUGCAAGCGUUGUCCGGAUUUACUGGGCGUAAAGGGCGCGUAGGCGGCAAUUCAAGUCAUCUGUGAAAUCUCCGGGCUUAACUCGGAACGGUCAGAUGAUACUGCUUUGCUAGAGUGCAGAAGGGGCAAUCGGAAUUCUUGGUGUAGCGGUGAAAUGCGUAGAUAUCAAGAGGAACACCUGAGGUGAAGACGGGUUGCUGGGCUGACACUGACGCUGAGGCGCGAAAGCCAGGGGAGCAAACGGGAUUAGAUACCCCCGUAGUCCCUGAGCGGGCUGGCAAGGCGCAU